GCCCUUAGAGUUUGAUCAUGGCUCAGGACGAACGCUGGCGGCGCGCCUAACACAUGCAAGUCGAACGAGCGAUGGAGAGCUUGCUUUCCAGAGCGAGUGGCGAACGGGUGAGUAACGCGUGAGGAACCUGCCUCAAAGAGGGGGACAACAGUUGGAAACGACUGCUAAUACCGCAUAAGCCCACGGCUCGGCAUCGAGCAGAGGGAAAAGGAGUGAUCCGCUUUGAGAUGGCCUCGCGUCCGAUUAGCUAGUUGGUGAGGUAACGGCCCACCAAGGCGACGAUCGGUAGCCGGACUGAGAGGUUGAACGGCCACAUUGGGACUGAGACACGGCCCAGACUCCUACGGGAGGCAGCAGUGGGGAAUAUUGCACAAUGGGGGAAACCCUGAUGCAGCGACGCCGCGUGGAGGAAGAAGGUCUUCGGAUUGUAAACUCCUGUUGUUGAGGAAGAUAAUGACGGUACUCAACAAGGAAGUGACGGCUAACUACGUGCCAGCAGCCGCGGUAAAACGUAGGUCACAAGCGUUGUCCGGAAUUACUGGGUGUAAAGGGAGCGCAGGCGGGAGAACAAGUUGGAAGUGAAAUCCAUGGGCUCAACCCAUGAGCUGCUUUCAAAACUGUUUUUCUUGAGUAGUGCAGAGGUAGGCGGAAUUCCCGGUGUAGCGGUGGAAUGCGUAGAUAUCGGGAGGAACACCAGUGGCGAAGGCGGCCUACUGGGCACCAACUGACGCUGAGGCUCGAAAGUGUGGGUAGCAAACAGGAUUAGAUACCCUGGUAGUCCACACCGUAAACGAUGAUUACUAGGUGUUGGAGGAUUGACCCCUUCAGUGCCGCAGUUAACACAAUAAGUAAUC
RNAcentral lists this ribosomal RNA (854 nucleotides) under uncultured Bacillota bacterium. Its description in RNAcentral is "bacterial SSU rRNA". It matches the Rfam family "Bacterial small subunit ribosomal RNA", at positions 1 to 869 of the family's 1533-position model. Lineage: Bacteria; Bacillati; Bacillota. The record is from RNAcentral.